RNAcentral lists this ribosomal RNA (421 nucleotides) under uncultured bacterium. RNAcentral's name for it is "partial 16S ribosomal RNA". It matches the Rfam family "Bacterial small subunit ribosomal RNA", at positions 355 to 769 of the family's 1533-position model. The record is from RNAcentral.
UGGGGAAUUUUGGACAAUGGGCGAAAGCCUGAUCCAGCAAUGCCGCGUGUGUGAAGAAGGCCUUCGGGUUGUAAAGCACUUUUGUCCGGAAAGAAAUCCUUGGCUCUAAUACAGUCGGGGGAUGACGGUACCGGAAGAAUAAGCACCGGCUAACUACGUGCCAGCAGCCGCGGUAAUACGUAGGGUGCAAGCGUUAAUCGGAAUUACUGGGCGUAAAGCGUGCGCAGGCGGUUUGCUAAGACCGAUGUGAAAUCCCCGGGCUAACCUGGGAACUGCAUUGGUGACUGGCAGGCUAGAGUAUGGCAGAGGGGGGUAGAAUUCCACGUGUAGCAGUGAAAUGCGUAGAGAUGUGGAGGAAUACCGAUGGCGAAGGCAGCCCCCUGGGCCAAUACUGACGCUCAUGCACGAAAGCGUGGGGAGC